Molecule: ribosomal RNA, 368 nt
Filed under: uncultured bacterium
Lineage: Bacteria
Description: bacterial SSU rRNA
Rfam family: Bacterial small subunit ribosomal RNA
Source: RNAcentral
UAGGGGCCGAGCGUUGUCCGGAGUUUWUKGGGSKWAAAGCGCGCGCAGGCGGCCUCGCGCGCCCGACGUGAAAGCCCCCGGCUUAACYGGGGAGGGUCGUUGGGGACGGCGGGGCUUGAGGGCGGGAGAGGUCGGUGGAAUUCCCGGUGUAGUGGUGAAAUGCGUAGAGAUCGGGAGGAACACCUGUGGCGAAGGCGGCCGACUGGGCCGACCCUGACGCUGAGGCGCGAAGGCGUGGGGAGCGAACGGGAUUAGAUACCCCGGUAGUCCACGCAGUAAACGAUGCAGACUAGGCGUGGGGGGACUUGACCCCCUCCGUGCCGGAGCCAACGCGGGAAGUCUGCCGCCUGGGGAGUACGGCCGCAAGG